GGGGAAUAUUGCACAAUGGGCGAAAGCCUGAUGCAGCAACGCCGCGUGAGUGAUGAAGGCCUUCGGGUUGUAAAGCUCUGUCUUCUGGGACGAUAAUGACGGUACCAGAGGAGGAAGCCACGGCUAACUACGUGCCAGCAGCCGCGGUACUACGUAGGUGGCAAGCGUUGUCCGGAUUUACUGGGCGUAAAGGAUGCGUAGGCGGAUACUUAAGUCAGAUGUGAAAAUCCCGGGCUUAACUUGGGAACUGCAUUUGAAACUGGGUAUCUAGAGUGCGGGAGAGGAAAGUGGAAUUCCUAGUGUAGCGGUGAAAUGCGUAGAGAUUAGGAAGAACACCAGUGGCUAAGGCGACUUUCUGGACCGUAACUGACGCUGAGGCAUGAAAGCGUGGGGAGCAAACA
RNAcentral lists this ribosomal RNA (401 nucleotides) under uncultured bacterium. Its description in RNAcentral is "bacterial SSU rRNA". It matches the Rfam family "Bacterial small subunit ribosomal RNA", at positions 356 to 774 of the family's 1533-position model. The record is from RNAcentral.